UAACUUUCAACAACGGAUCUCUUGGCUCUCGCAUCGAUGAAGAACGCAGCGAAAUGCGAUAAGUAAUGUGAAUUGCAGAAUUCAGUGAAUCAUCGAAUCUUUGAACGCACCUUGCGCUCUCUGGUAUUCCGGAGAGCAUGCCUGUUUGAGUGUCAU
Molecule: ribosomal RNA, 156 nt
Filed under: Cutaneotrichosporon cyanovorans
Lineage: Eukaryota; Fungi; Basidiomycota; Tremellomycetes; Trichosporonales; Trichosporonaceae
Description: 5.8S ribosomal RNA
Rfam family: 5.8S ribosomal RNA
About the family: 5.8S ribosomal RNA (5.8S rRNA) is a component of the large subunit of the eukaryotic ribosome. It is transcribed by RNA polymerase I as part of the 45S precursor that also contains 18S and 28S rRNA.
Source: RNAcentral